Molecule: small nucleolar RNA, 105 nt
Filed under: Helianthus annuus (common sunflower)
Lineage: Eukaryota; Viridiplantae; Streptophyta; Magnoliopsida; Asterales; Asteraceae
Description: Plant small nucleolar RNA R71
Rfam family: Plant small nucleolar RNA R71
About the family: R71 is a member of the C/D box family of snoRNAs containing the C (UGAUGA) and D (CUGA) box motifs. Multiple nearly identical copies of this snoRNA have been identified in Arabidopsis, and it is thought to function as a 2'-O-ribose methylation guide for 18S ribosomal RNA.
Source: RNAcentral
AUCCCAUGGUGAGGGCAAUUUUAAUCAUCAUAUUGAAUCGUUCAAACGCUUCAUGGAACAUCUCACCAUGUUGUUGUUGGAAGCUCCUCAACCCCUUUCUAGCAU